UGGGAGAUCGUCUAAUGGUAGGACGAACGGUUCUGGUCCGUUUAAUCGGGGUUCGAGUCCCUGUCUCCCAG
This 71-nucleotide transfer RNA is filed under the name Candidatus Woesebacteria bacterium. RNAcentral describes it as "tRNA-Gln". It matches the Rfam family "tRNA". Rfam says of the family: Transfer RNA (tRNA) molecules are approximately 80 nucleotides in length. Lineage: Bacteria; Candidatus Woeseibacteriota. The record is from RNAcentral.